Homo sapiens (human) is the source of this 1692-nucleotide long non-coding RNA. Ensembl annotates it as PAXIP1 antisense RNA 2. Its record names the gene PAXIP1-AS2. The record is from Ensembl. NCBI's taxonomy places the organism in Eukaryota, Metazoa, Chordata, Mammalia, Primates, Hominidae.
CUUAAAGCCCUAAAUGGCGGCUUCAAUAUCAGUCCCACUGAGCAUGAAAUUCAUUUACUUAAAUAAAAUCUGAAUCUCAGCCCAAACCUGGGAGAUUCAAAACCUGAGAGCGGUCUUACCAAAGACGCCCGUAUGUCUGGUGAAGUCAGUUGGAUGCAAGCAGUUUGUGCUGGUACCAGGGCCCCAGCUACUGAUGAAGUGGCAGGAGUCCACAGAAGCCUACUUCGAAGUUCCCGGGGCUUCCAGGGGAGAUUGACGAGAUUCCUGGGGAGGCGAUUCAUGACAGCUGAGUUCCUUUUGGAGGAUCCGUCUUCAGGCAGUCUGAUCCCCCAGGAAAGCAGCUGGAAAACAAGAGCAUGUGAAGGAAGCGCAGCAGCUCCUCGCCAGCCAGACAGCCAGCCCCGCACCGCAGGAGUCGACAUGCACGGCAGCCUAGACGCCAUCAGUUAAACUUAUAUGUAGGCUUGUUGAGGAAAACGACUUUCAAACACAAGGCAAAAGAAAAACAUGAAACCAAGGGUUCCAACAUUCAUCAUCCAGUUUCAGAGACACCCUUGAAGGAAUGCUACAGCCUCUUUCUUACCCAUUCAAACCAGUCGCUCUGCUGCAUACCCACAUCACAGGAGGCCCUCAGCCCCGACACACAGGCUCACUCAGCCCGGGGACAUCAGCACCUGUGCCAGCUCCGCAAGGUAUCCACCAUGCGGCCAGAACUGAGGCCCAGCAAUAGCUGAAAUGUCCUUUAAAUUAACAUGUACAACACACAACCCCCAAGAGCUGACAUCCCCAAAGCCCCACCACAAAUAGCUGACUCCUACUUAUACCUGCAGGAGCAGGUAGUGACCUCUGCAAUUCUAAACCGUCCACUUUGGGCAAAAUUCAUCAAGCUAUGGAUAUGAAAAAAGGCCCCCAAGGUAAUACUCAUAAGUCUCCUGUAUGACUUUUAAAGCAAUUUCUUCUGAAAGUAAAUGUAGUGUAGAACAGGCUUUCACAAAUACAAACAUGAAUGUUAGGAAAAAGUCUGGAAAAAAUGCAAGAGUACAUGUUGUAUAAAAACCAAAUGCUUAUAGCAUAUCUGUAAAAAUUUAACAGGCCUCUUAUCAUUCCUAUCAGUAGCUCCUACAAUAAUUUUCUAAUAGAUGGCGGUAUGGAAUACAGCAAGCUCUGGUAUGAAUGGUAAGAGCGUUUCUGCACCAAGCCUCAUUCCAACUAGACAGGCUAUUUAUUUAUGGCUAAACAUGACAUUGGAUUCUGGGACUGAGGCAAAUUUUACUUCUUUUUUUUUUUUUUUUUUUUUAAAGACAGAGUUUCGCUCUUGUUGCCCAGGCUGUAGUGCAAUGGCGCGAUAUUGGCUCACUGCAACCCCUGCCUCCCAGGUUCAAGUGAUUCUCCUGCCUCACCAAGUAGCUGUGAUUACAGGUACCCGCCACCAUGGCCAGCUAAUUUUUUCUAUUUUUAGUAGAGCCAGGGUUUCACCAUGUUGGCCAGGCUGGUCUCGAACUCCUGAUCUCAGGUGAUCCACCUGUCUUGGCCUCCCGUGCUGGGAUUAUAGGCAUGAGCCACCACGUCCGGCCAAAUUUUACUUCUUAAAAGUGCUUUUCUCUCAGUGAUAUCAAGGUCUUCUGUCUACUAUUAUAACCAUAAGCUCUUUAGCGUUAAGAGGAAAAUGUUUGAUAAAUGUAAUUAACUGGA